RNAcentral lists this long non-coding RNA (907 nucleotides) under Marmota monax (woodchuck). Lineage: Eukaryota; Metazoa; Chordata; Mammalia; Rodentia; Sciuridae. The record is from RNAcentral.
UAAUAAUUCAGAGUUAUAAGAAACAACCAGACCCUCUGAUCCCUUUGACCUGCGGUGUGUUUUGAAUAUUAUCAUGUUGCAUUAAAAAGCCUUUAGUCUUAUUCAACCUCCAAAACUGACUUAAAUGAUGAGGCAGCUAUUGUUUUUCAUUGAAUUAACUGGGAAAAUUGGUAGGGAAACAUUUAUAAAAUUAUGCUCAAAAUAUGAAGUAAUGGUAUCCAGAGUUGAUGAUAUGUAGGUUGCUGUUAUAAAAAUGAAGCCUGCAUAGCUACAUUAUUACAAAAUCUUAUUUUCAUUGCAAGAAAAAUGUGGGUUUUAAGAGAAAUUCUGACAUUAAGUUAGUAGCUCAGUGGCGAUUAUGUUACAUCUCAGAAUAUAAGAAUUUUUCUACAUAUCCAAAGUUGCUGCUGUUUAUAUUCUUAAGACAGAGCUAUUAUAAGCAUUUUUUUAGUGGGUAUGUUCCAUUCUUUGAUUUUUUUGGCUAGGAUAUUCUAAAGGUAGUUUGUUCUGAAGGACUCAAGGUUAACAGUAUAGUAUUAUAGUAUUUACCUUUUCAUUUAUUUAUUCAAAAAUAUUUUCUGAGUGUCCAUGCAGCACUAGUUACUGCGUAAAUUUAGUCUUAAAGAGACUCAGCCAUGUCAAGAGUAGGGAGAAGAGUUCCAAGUAGGAGAACAGUGUGAACUGUCCCUGAGGUGUUAAGGCACUUGGCAAGUUUGAUAGAACUGAACAGUGUGAUUAGAUCUUAGUGAGGAUGAAAGAGAAUGGAACAAAAAGUGACUGAGAAAGACUGAAAUGCAGUAAAUCCACUAGGGGCUAUUCAUGUACACAGAGGUGUUGCCCUUAAAUUAAAUGUCACCAGACUGCUAUCCAUUUUGUGACAUGUGUAUUCAUUUUGUGAUUUUUUUUA